Molecule: non-coding RNA, 987 nt
Organism: Arachis ipaensis
Lineage: Eukaryota; Viridiplantae; Streptophyta; Magnoliopsida; Fabales; Fabaceae
Source: RefSeq, a predicted model, not a curated record
UUUUCGAUCUGUGAUAGCUUGAUCUGAUCUAUGAAAUUCCUUUUCUUUAUUUUUUUUUUUGUUGACAUAAUCUUUUCUUAUUGCAACUCAUAAACCACUUUAAAUAUUUCUAAAUCAUAAAAACUCUACCAAAAUCAGAACUAGAAUUAAUCUAUAGAAAGUGGAAUCAGAGCCUAACAGCAGCAUAAAAAUUUGUUCUAUACCCUUAUUUUAUAAAAAAAACAAUUUCUGUACUCUUCUGAUGAUGAUGAACUCCACUAGUAAGCUCAUUCGAGAAAAUCACUCUUCUCAAUCUUCACCAUCAAUCGGAGCUUCAUUCACAAGCCAAAAAGGAGUGGAAUGUCAGCUCACUACUUAGGCUAAGUCAAGGUAGAGGUUCAGGAGUCAAUGAUUCAGCUCAUGUAACUGCAACAAGAUAGUUGGCGAACCAGAAUCAUGAUCGUCCAAGCGCAAUUGCACAGUCAUGAAAUUGCAAGUCUUGCAUUUCUUGCCUCUAAUCCCUCUUUAAAUGUCUUGUCCUUCCUGUGUUUAAUUUGAAAUUUUACUUAGCUCAAGUAAUUCAUCUGAUUGAGAUCACUUUUUUUUCGCAAAACGUAAACAACGGUCCAUCUACAUCAUCUGGCUUGCCAGAAUCCUCUAAAGAAAAUGCAUCAAAAGCAGAAAAGCACUUAGGAAGUUCACACAUUGCUCGCGUUUUCGGUAGUAAUUCUUGUACUUUAAGCAGUUGGAUUCCUUCGCUAUGCCGAAUUUCUUCAGCCAAAUAAUAUGUAAGAAAAUCAGUUAUUUACCUAACUUUGGUAUGAUAGAUAGUCAAGGACCAAAAUGAAGCAGUAACUAGCUAAACUGAAAGAUAGUCAAAUGUAUUAUGCAUCUUGUAAUUCUUGUGCUAACUAUCUAUGUGUGGCAUAUUUAGAUAAUUUUCAGAGAUUUCAAAUCUUCAAAUAUCCUUCUGGAUGAGGAGUGGAAUGCAAAGCUAUCUGACUUUGG